CCUACGGGAGGCAGCAGUAGGGAAUCUUCCACAAUGGGCGAAAGCCUGAUGGAGCAACGCCGCGUGGGUGAAGAAGGUCUUCGGAUCGUAAAACCCUGUUGUUAGAGAAGAAAGUGCGUGAGAGUAACUGUUCACGUUUCGACGGUAUCUAACCAGAAAGCCACGGCUAACUACGUGCCAGCAGCCGCGGUAAUACGUAGGUGGCAAGCGUUAUCCGGAUUGAUUGGGCGUAAAGGGAACGCAGGCGGUCUUUUAAGUCUGAUGUGAAAGCCUUCGGCUUAACCGGAGUAGUGCAUUGGAAACUGGGAGACUUGAGUGCAGAAGAGGAGAGUGGAACUCCAUGUGUAGCGGUGAAAUGCGUAGAUAUAUGGAAGAACACCAGUGGCGAAAGCGGUUCUCUGGUCUGUAACUGACGCUGAGGUUCGAAAGCGUGGGUAGCAAACAGGAUUAGAUACCCCUGGUAGUC
RNAcentral lists this ribosomal RNA (466 nucleotides) under uncultured bacterium. RNAcentral describes it as "partial 16S ribosomal RNA". It matches the Rfam family "Bacterial small subunit ribosomal RNA", at positions 338 to 795 of the family's 1533-position model. The record is from RNAcentral.